GCCCGUCAGAUUACAACUGGCCUUCAGGUGUUGGCCCGUCAGAUUACAACUGGCCUUCAGGUGUUGGCCCGUCAGAUUACACUGGUCCUUACAACUGGCCUUCAGGUGUUGGCCCGUCAGAUUACACUGGUCCUUACAACUGGCCUUCAGGUGUUGGCCCGUCAGAUUACACUGGUCCUUACAACUGGCCUUCAGGUGUUGGCCCGUCAGAUUACACUGGUCCUUACAACUGGCCUUCAGGUGUUGGCCCGUCAGAUUACACUGGUCCUUACAACUGGCUGUCAGGUGUUGGCCCGUCAGAUUACACUGGUCCUUACAACUGGCCUUCAGGUGUUGGCCCGUCAGAUUACACUGGUCCUUACAACUGGCCUUCAGGUGUUGGCCCGUCAGAUUACACUGGUCCUUACAACUGGCUGUCAGGUGUUGGCCCGUCACAUUACACUGGUCCUUACAACUGGCUGUCAGGUGUAAGUGUCAGAUGUAACGGAUUCACUAUCUCUAGUUGAUCUAACUGAUGGGCCAGUGGUGCGUUCAGGUGUAGAGAGAGGAAGACACAGUGCCCGGAGGACCAUGACAAGGUGGGAACACAAAUAUAGAGGGUAGGAGGGGGGAAUAGGGGUCAGGGGGUCAGGUGGGGCAGGAAGGGCUGAGAGGGGGAGUGGGGUGAUGGGAGAGACAUCGAGGAGGUUAAAGGGGUGAGAGAGUAAAGGGUGAACAGAAAGUGUGGGUUGUGGAAGAAAGAGAGAGACCGACCAGUACAGGGCCUGUUUCCUCAAAGAAUCUCAGAGUAGAAGUUCUGAUCUAGGAUCAGGACCCCACCUGGCCCUAUAACCUCAUUCAUUAUGAGCUAAAAGGCUAUACUGAUCGUAG
Oncorhynchus keta (chum salmon) is the source of this 870-nucleotide long non-coding RNA. RefSeq lists it as uncharacterized. Lineage: Eukaryota; Metazoa; Chordata; Actinopteri; Salmoniformes; Salmonidae. The record is from RefSeq and is a predicted model, not a curated record. The transcript is spliced from 4 exons.